This 19-nucleotide unclassified non-coding RNA is filed under the name Mus musculus (house mouse). RNAcentral's name for it is "oocyte_clustered_small_RNA10307". The record is from RNAcentral. Lineage: Eukaryota; Metazoa; Chordata; Mammalia; Rodentia; Muridae.
AGACGACGCGAAAUGGGAA